RNAcentral lists this ribosomal RNA (253 nucleotides) under uncultured bacterium. RNAcentral describes it as "partial 16S ribosomal RNA". It matches the Rfam family "Bacterial small subunit ribosomal RNA", at positions 524 to 776 of the family's 1533-position model. The record is from RNAcentral.
UACGAAGGGAUCUAGCGGUGUUCGGAUUUACUGGGCGUAAAGGGCGCGUAGGCGGUUUAGCAAGUCAGAUGUGAAAGCCCUGGGCUUAACCCGGGAACUGCAUUUGAAACUACUAGGCUUGAGUAUGGGAGAGGUAAGUGGAAUUUCCAGUGUAGAGGUGAAAUUCGUAGAUAUUGGAAAGAACACCAGUGGCGAAGGCGACUUACUGGACCAUAACUGACGCUGAGGCGCGAAAGCGUGGGGAGCAAACAGG